CUCGACUCUGGGAUAAGCCUGGGAAACCGGGUCUAAUACUGGAUACUACCUCUCACCGCAUGGUGGGUGGUGGAAAGGGUUUACUGGUUUUGGAUGGGCUCACGGCCUAUCAGCUUGUUGGUGGGGUAAUGGCUCACCAAGGCGACGACGGGUAGCCGGCCUGAGAGGGUGACCGGCCACACUGGGACUGAGACACGGCCCAGACUCCUACGGGAGGCAGCAGUGGGGAAUAUUGCACAAUGGGCGAAAGCCUGAUGCAGCGACGCCGCGUGAGGGAUGACGGCCUUCGGGUUGUAAACCUCUUUCAGUAGGGAAGAAGCGAAAGUGACGGUACCUGCAGAAGAAGCGCCGGCUAACUACGUGCCAGCAGCCGCGGUAAUACGUAGGGCGCAAGCGUUGUCCGGAAUUAUUGGGCGUAAAGAGCUCGUAGGCGGUUUGUCGCGUCUGCUGUGAAAGCCCGGGGCUCAACCCCGGGUCUGCAGUGGGUACGGGCAGACUAGAGUGCAGUAGGGGAGACUGGAAUUCCUGGUGUAGCGGUGAAAUGCGCAGAUAUCAGGAGGAACACCGAUGGCGAAGGCAGGUCUCUGGGCUGUUACUGACGCUGAGGAGCGAAAGCAUGGGGAGCGAACAGGAUUAGAUACCCUGGUAGUCCAUGCCGUAAACGUUGGGCACUAGGUGUGGGGGACAUUCCACGUCCUCCGCGCCGUAGCUAACGCAUUAAGUGCCCCGCCUGGGGAGUACGGCCGCAAGGCUAAAACUCAAAGGAAUUGA
Molecule: ribosomal RNA, 771 nt
Filed under: Kocuria dechangensis
Lineage: Bacteria; Bacillati; Actinomycetota; Actinomycetes; Micrococcales; Micrococcaceae
Description: bacterial SSU rRNA
Rfam family: Bacterial small subunit ribosomal RNA
Source: RNAcentral